Molecule: long non-coding RNA, 1992 nt
Filed under: Homo sapiens (human)
Lineage: Eukaryota; Metazoa; Chordata; Mammalia; Primates; Hominidae
Description: HSALNT0337722
Source: RNAcentral
UACUUGUCAGGUUUAUUUUGGUUUACAUUAUAUGCACUAUUUUUCCCCUAAGACCUUAAAAACAACCUUAUUUGAGAAAUGUGAAUUAUGUGAUUAGAAUGCCCAGUUUUACUGAACCCAGCAGAGUUCUAGUUACUGAAGAUACACCAAUGGCCUGCACCACUUAGAGCAACGACCAAGUAGUGGUCCCCUCUUAACUCUUUUACUGUCUGUGAGGUAUGACCUUCUUUACACCCCCACAUGCCUCUAGUAUGCAUUGAAGUCCAGCCUGCCCAGAGCUGUUAAGCAGCUAUAACUAAUAAUUUCCAUUCGACUAUCUCAUCCCUCUUCUCUUCUACUCUCUUGUCAGCUGAGUGUUCUAUCCCCUAGAACAGGGGUCCCCAGCCCCUGGUCUGUGGCCUGUUGGGAACCAGGCCACACAGCAGGAGGAUAGACCCAGUCUCCAUGAAGUCUUGAAGACUAAGUCCUAAUCUACAGCCCCUGGAUGUCCUGUUGGUUUUGAACCAGCACAGUUCUGUACUAGGGAAUGAUUGUAACAGCUGUAGAGCAAGUAUUGUUCCCAACUUGUCAGGACCCAUGGAGGAUCGGUCAAAGGAGGGGGAAAGCUGUGACACGUCGCUUCCAUACACCAAAAUGGCUCACAUGAAGCAGAGAUGAUGAUCAUUUCCUUGAUAUUGAGUUGAUAAAGGUUUAUCAGCCAUGAUACACUCUGAAACAUGCAAGGAAUUUGCAAGAGCUCACUGGGAAACGAGCCAGUUCUCCUAUUUUGUCUUUCAUCAUUUUGCUGGAGACGCAAAAGUGUGCACACAGGUCAUUCGUAUAAUGAGCAGUGCUGCGGUAGUAAGACCAGCCCCGUAAUGAACAGGAUUGCCCCAGCCCGUGAUGCUGAUGCAAGUGAGAUAGGAGACAGGAGGCUAAUGUGUGCUUGGUCGGCAGCUCACCUGCCGAGGAGGAAUGAAGAAUCACAGGAGAGUUACCUAGAUAGUUAGGGGAAAACAGAAACCCUCUCUGUUUUUUCACUGUCACUAAUUGUGCCAGUUAUCUGUGUCGCUUUGAAUGUAAGCAGCUCGCCUAUUCAAACACAGCAGGCCAUCCUAUUGCUGGAAGAGUUAAGGAAGGAGAAGGCCAGAUGACUCCCCAGAUUAGAUGUAAUGCCACCUGUCAUGUUUUUAUUAUGAUUUUCAAAAGCAUAAACUUUUAGCCUGUCCUUUCGGUAGUUAUUAUGAAUGUUUUGCCUUAUCUCGUUUUUUCUAUUAUAAAACAAAAAGAUAGGGAUUUUUUUAGAAUCACAAAAAAAUUUAUUUGAAUACUUAGGUAGGGUCUAAGGGCUCAGAACCUUGUUUUUCUAAAUAAGCAUAUUCAUAUGCACAUAGAAGAAAUAGCAUUAAAAGCUUAAGAGUGUGAUGGUCAGGGUUCACGUCACAGCUUCAUCAACUACUAGCUGUAUCACUCUGAGCGAGUCAGUUAACAUCUCUGUGCCUCAAUUUUUUCAUCUCUAAAAUGGGCUAAUGAUAGUACCAGUAUUAUAGAGAUAUUAUAAGGAUUAAAUAGGUUAAGAUACCUAAAGAAUUGGGAAUAAUGCCUAGCCCACAGUACCUACUUGGUAAAUGUUAGCUAAUUUAUGGUUUAUACAUCCAUACAUAUCUAUGUGUUUAUACAGUAGGAUAGUUAAUUGAAACAGUUAUUUAAAGCAUAUUUAUCUCAAUUAUGUAAGUGGAAAGUAAAUUUUUACAAAUAAGAGAGUUCAUCAGGUGUCAUUCUUGAAGACUGCAAAAUGACAAUUUGGUAUGGUUACAUAAGAACUAAUCUUCUCCUUUCCUAAAGUUCAUUCUGUAUUCAUUUAUUGUAAUAUGUUAAAAGACUAUGUGCCCUUUGUAAAGUAGUUUUUUUCCAUGCUGGAUUAAAUAACUUCUUUGUACAUCAUUUUCACAUUUGGAUGUGGCCAUUUCUAUUAUACUCAGGGUAGCCAGAAAUCUGCCAGUUUUCUGGAAC